GCAGUGGGGAAUUUUGGACAAUGGGCGCAAGCCUGAUCCAGCAAUGCCGCGUGAGUGAAGAAGGCCUUCGGGUUGUAAAGCUCUUUUGUCAGGGAAGAAACGGGCCUUUCUAAUACAGGGGCCUAAUGACGGUACCUGAAGAAUAAGCACCGGCUAACUACGUGCCAGCAGCCGCGGUAAUACGUAGGGUGCAAGCGUUAAUCGGAAUUACUGGGCGUAAAGCGUGCGCAGGCGGUUUUGUAAGACUGUCGUGAAAUCCCCGGGCUCAACCUGGGAAUGGCGAUGGUGACUGCAAGGCUAGAGUUUGGCAGAGGGGGGUAGAAUUCCACGUGUAGCAGUGAAAUGCGUAGAUAUGUGGAGGAACACCGAUGGCGAAGGCAGCCCCCUGGGUCAAAACUGACGCUCAUGCACGAAAGCGUGGGGAGCAAACAGGAUUAGA
This 439-nucleotide ribosomal RNA is filed under the name uncultured bacterium. RNAcentral's name for it is "bacterial SSU rRNA". It matches the Rfam family "Bacterial small subunit ribosomal RNA", at positions 351 to 782 of the family's 1533-position model. The record is from RNAcentral.